This is a long non-coding RNA of Cercocebus atys (sooty mangabey), 2507 nucleotides long. RefSeq lists it as uncharacterized. The transcript has 2 exons. Lineage: Eukaryota; Metazoa; Chordata; Mammalia; Primates; Cercopithecidae. The record is from RefSeq and is a predicted model, not a curated record.
GGGAUUCUCCAGCCCCAGCCUCCUGAGUAGCUGGGACUUCAGGCACCUGUCACCACGCCCAGGGACAGUUACUUGAUUCUUAAUAGUCCAGUCAUAAUGAGACAGGAUACUGCAUAAGCCAAAGACCACACAAAGUAUCAAUGUUAAGUGUCAAGAGGGUGUGGAGGAAGUGGGUUACAACCACUUUGUCUCCCAACUGUUGUAUGUUUUGCCUUUAAAUUUUUUUUUUAAAGUACAUUAAACUGUAAUGUAUUCAGAUGUGGCUGAAACAACGACAAAACAUUAGUUUUCUUUAAAUAUGCAUGACUUUUAAGCUUUUUCCCUUUCCCAGUGACUUGCUUCUCCACUAAGCUCUUUUUUUCUCUUUUUUUUUCCCUCAAAUAUUAUUGUUUCAUGUCACUGUGACAAGUUUAGUCUACUGGAAAUUCCUAUGUUCUCUGUAAUUUAGGUUUUAAGCAACAUAUGAUUUAUCUUGUUAUUUUAAAAAAACUCUCUGCCUUCCCUAAGUGGGUGACUCUGGCAUCCUUAAUAUUCUUCUAUAGAAAUUACGAUGAAAGAACAGAUAAGCCUAAGUAAAUCUAGCGUGUGGAGCUCUUUAAAAUGUGAAGAUUGUCAACUGGUUAAAAGUAAAACUUGGUUUUGUCCUAAAUAUCCUUGCUGGGCCUAUUAUGCAUUGAAAAAGGGGCCACAGCCCAUUUGCAAGGCUUCUGAAUGAACUCCAUUCAUUCUGUACUUGGAAAUGUCUCUUCAGCCACAAAAAGAAACAAUAGUUAUAACCUAAUUUCUUUGGCGCCAAUAUCAGCAGAAGAAGAGCAAAGAGACCAUUAUGAAAACUCUAGUAAGUUCUCUUGGUGAUUAUGUAAUUCUGUAUUCAUUGAUCAUAUUUCUGUAUUUAAAUAAGUACAUUUUUAAAAACAUUUUAAAGUGGAUCGGUAAUGCUGUAAUAUCACAUUUCAUGUAUUAUGCAACGUUUUUAAAAUGGAGUACUCUAAAGUAAUUUGCUUCUUACGGUUACCAAAGUUUAAAAAAUACUCUAACAUGCACUCCGAGAUUUUAAGAGGAAAGCAUUUGUGCUUUUCAUCACUAUAUUUUGAAACCUGAGAGUGCAAAACCAGUUUUCUUAGGUAAACCCCUUAGUCAGUUUCCACAUUUACUUGUAAAAGUCAGUGGAGGGCAUACAUCUGGAAGUAGUAAUGGUGGUACACAACGUGUGUUAAUAUCAUUUCCAAGGGGUAUCUAGAGUGAACUUUCUUAAGCACAGAUCGGAUCUGAGCAUGCCGCUCCUUUCUUAAAACCUUUUGUUGAUUUUCCAUUUCCCUAGAAGGAAAGCCCACUGGAGCAUGGGCCUUGCGAAGUGCUCUUUCUGGCUUCUGCCUACCUGCCUUUGCAGCUUCACCCCUACCAUCUUCCCUGAAUGAACUUUUGUCGGUGGCCUCGCUCUUUCUUCCCAUGGGAUGUUGUUUCUGCAUGUUCUUGCAGGGAAUUCUCUUUCUCCCAACCCUGUUUCAUUCCUUUAAUCUGUACAACUCUUUCUUAUCCUAAAGUCUUUACCUUAAGGUUGCCUUUUCAAGAAGACUUUUAAUUGUAUUAACUAAUUAAUUAAUAAAUAGUCUGAUGUAUUUGGAGCUGAGUUUCUAUGGGGAUUAGUUGCUGGAGGGUAGUUUAGAGCCAGAUUGUGAAGGACUUUCUAAACUGUGCUUUCAAGGUUUUGAACAGGAAAAUGCUGUAGGCUCUCUGUUUUUUAAAAGUUUGGAGGAUGGCUUGUGUCUUAAAAGAAUAUGUAACAUAACCAUUUAAUUUGUGAGUAGAGGACUAAGGAAACCACUGUAACCUUUUUCUCUCUGCAAUAAUCCCAUCUUCAGCCUCUCAAGCACUGUGAACAAUCACUUUCUCUGGCUGUCUUCUUGGAGCCCCUGCUAAUUCAUUAUUGAAAAAUACCUGCGGCCUGCAUUUGGCCUUAUGUUGUCAUUUACUUGGUACUUCCUAAGGGUGGCUACUCCAAUGUAGCUGUAGUAUAUGUACUGAAGGAAGAUCCUCUCAUACUGCCACAGCCAACAGAUAAAGUUGUGAAUCUUUUUUGGGAGAAGCCGUUAAGGACAGGUCUGUGAAAUGGAAGGAUCUCUGGAUCACUACAAAGUCUGGCUCAGUGACUAUGGCUUUGCAAACACUAAACAUUCCUAUCUCAAGUCCUGUAGAUGGCUUGAAAUAGCAUACAUAAACAUGCCUUAUAAACAUCUUCAGUCUUUAUCAACUCUUUGGAGAUUCAGCCAUUCUUUUUUGUACUUUAAGGAAUUAAAUAAUUUUAUAAUGUGGUAUAAAUCUGAGCAUGGCAGAUGGUAGAAGAAAUUUUGUCAUAUAUUUUUAAAGAAAUAAAAAUGUAUUAUGUUUUAAAAUUCCUUUAACUGUUUUUCUUACAAAGCUCCCAACAACGUAGUUACCAAGUAAACUAUCUCAGAUGUGAUUUUUCAGUCCUUGCUAAUCUGUUUAUAAAAUCUUUUGCUAUUUUA